GAUGAACGCUAGCGGCAGGCUUAAUACAUGCAAGUCGUGGGGCAGCGCAGUGUAGCAAUACAUGGGCGGCGACCGACAAACGGGUGCGGAACACGUACACAACCUUCCUUCAAAUGGGGAAUAGCCCAGGGAAACUUGGAUUAAUACCCCGUAACAUUAUGAAGUGGCAUCACUUUAUAAUUAUAGCUCCGGCGUUUGGAGAUGGGUGUGCGGCUGAUUAGGUAGUUGGCGGGGAACGGCCCACCAAGCCUUCGAUCAGUAACUGGUGUGAGAGCACGACCAGUCACACGGGCACUGAGACACGGGCCCGACUCCUACGGGAGGCAGCAGUAAGGAAUAUUGGGCAAUGGACGCAAGUCUGACCCAG
RNAcentral lists this ribosomal RNA (367 nucleotides) under uncultured bacterium. RNAcentral describes it as "bacterial SSU rRNA". It matches the Rfam family "Bacterial small subunit ribosomal RNA", at positions 28 to 391 of the family's 1533-position model. The record is from RNAcentral.